AGAAUUGGAAGACCACACCUAUGCGCCUUCUUGAAAACUACGGCCCUCAAAGGACUCUCCUUUUUCCUUAACACCUUAACAAGAUUCGCGAUCGAUUUUGCUAUCACUCAUGACCUCUUUGUUCUCCAGAGUCGUCAGCUUAUGGAGUCUUUCGGCGAGAGUGCGUUCCGUCUCCGCAUUGUCUCCGCCUGAUCCAAACAAUCC
RNAcentral lists this long non-coding RNA (204 nucleotides) under Actinidia chinensis (golden kiwifruit). RNAcentral's name for it is "long non-coding RNA (ACHI_LNC001274)". Lineage: Eukaryota; Viridiplantae; Streptophyta; Magnoliopsida; Ericales; Actinidiaceae. The record is from RNAcentral.